This 102-nucleotide ribosomal RNA is filed under the name Sinocyclocheilus rhinocerous. The record is from RNAcentral. Lineage: Eukaryota; Metazoa; Chordata; Actinopteri; Cypriniformes; Cyprinidae.
AUACACAGCCAUAUCACCCUACAGCCCACUGGAGCUAAGCAGGCUUGAGCUGGUCAGUAUCUGGAUGGGAGACCCCUGGGAAAACUAGGCUGCUGCUGUAUA